This 443-nucleotide ribosomal RNA is filed under the name uncultured bacterium. Its description in RNAcentral is "partial 16S ribosomal RNA". It matches the Rfam family "Bacterial small subunit ribosomal RNA", at positions 338 to 795 of the family's 1533-position model. The record is from RNAcentral.
CCUACGGGAGGCAGCAGUGGGGAAUAUUGGGCAAUGGGCGCAAGCCUGACCCAGCAACGCCGCGUGAAGGAAGAAGGCUUUCGGGUUGUAAACUUCUUUUCUCAGGGACGAAGAAAGUGACGGUAGCUGAGGAAUAAGCCACGGCUAACUACGUGCCAGCAGCCGCGGUAAUACGUAGGUGGCAAGCGUUAUCCGGAUUUAUUGGGUGUAAAGGGCGUGUAGGCGGGAGCGCAAGUCAGAUGUGAAAACUAAGGGCUCAACCCUGAGCCUGCAUUUGAAACUGGGUUUCUUGAGUGCUGGGGAGGCAAUCGGAAUUCGGUGUGUAGCGGUGAAAUGCGUAGAUAUACGGAGGAACACCAGUGGCGAAGGCGGAUUGCUGGACAGUAACUGACGCUGAGGCGCGAAAGCGUGGGGAGCAAACAGGAUUAGAUACCCCUGUAGUC